Molecule: long non-coding RNA, 265 nt
Filed under: Equus caballus (horse)
Lineage: Eukaryota; Metazoa; Chordata; Mammalia; Perissodactyla; Equidae
Description: lncRNA (ENSECAG00000056704.1)
Source: RNAcentral
GUAAAUACAAUAUUCAUCUUAUGUGGCUGCUGGAAGAUGGUAUGAGAUAAUGCAGCUGCAGGUUGGGACCUUACCUGGACCUCUCAACUAGAACACCUACACAGCAUGGAGGCUGGAUUCUGAGGAAGAGCAUCCUGAAAGAGAGAGUCAGCUGGAAGCUGUGUCACCAUUUCUACACCCUCCUGGGAAGUCACACAAAGGAUGCUUCCUUUCUGAUGCGUUCUGUUGGCUAGAAGCAAGUCACUAAAGGAAAAGGGAAUUACAC